CCUCUUUAAUAUCGCCGCCCGACGCCCUAUAUUCAAAGCGUCGGGAAACCGACUAUGGCGCUAAAUGGCCUUGUGAAAUAAGCGCAGCGGACCCGGGGGCAGUACCCGGCGCCUCCACCAUAUCUCUUUCGUGACCCGGCUUCGAUUUCGGGUCCAUUUAUGGGGGCGAAACAGGAUCGACGCGCGUGGUAAAGACUUGGUUUGUGCCCGGCAUGG
Molecule: transfer-messenger RNA, 216 nt
Filed under: Alphaproteobacteria bacterium
Lineage: Bacteria; Pseudomonadati; Pseudomonadota; Alphaproteobacteria
Description: partial transfer-messenger RNA
Rfam family: Alphaproteobacteria transfer-messenger RNA
About the family: Bacterial tmRNA, also known as 10Sa RNA or SsrA, is named for its dual tRNA and mRNA-like properties. Its role is to liberate the mRNA from a stalled ribosome.
Source: RNAcentral